This 497-nucleotide ribosomal RNA is filed under the name uncultured bacterium. RNAcentral's name for it is "partial 16S ribosomal RNA". It matches the Rfam family "Bacterial small subunit ribosomal RNA", at positions 28 to 507 of the family's 1533-position model. The record is from RNAcentral.
GAUGAACGCUGGCGGCGUGCCUAAUACAUGCAAGUCGAGCGAACAGAUGAGGAGCUUGCUCCUCUGACGUUAGCGGCGGACGGGUGAGUAACACGUGGAUAACCUACCUAUAAGACUGGGAUAACUUCGGGAAACCGGAGCUAAUACCGGAUAAUAUAUUGAACCGCAUGGUUCAAUAGUGAAAGACGGUUUUGCUGUCCCUUAUAGAUGGAUCCGCGCCGCAUUAGCUAGUUGGUAAGGUAACGGCUUACCAAGGCAACGAUGCGUAGCCGACCUGAGAGGGGGACAGGCCACCUUGGAACUGGGACACGGCCCAGACUCCUACGGGGGGCAGCAGUAGGGAAUCUUCCGCAAUGGGCGAAAGCCUGACGGGGCAACGCCGCGUGGGUGAUGAAGGUCUUCGGAUCGUAAAACUCGGUUAUUAGGGAAGAACAAAUGUGUAAGUAACUAUGCACGUCUUGACGGUACCUAAUCAGAAAGCCACGGCUAACUACGUG